UACAGAGGUCCCAAGCGUUGUUCGGAUUCACUGGGCGUAAAGGGUGCGUAGGUGGUUGGGUAAGUCUGAUGUGAAAUCUCCGAGCUUAACUCGGAAAUGGCAUUGGAUACUAUUCGGCUAGAGGGUUUGAGGGGGGACUGGAAUACUUGGUGUAGCAGUGAAAUGCGUAGAUAUCAAGUGGAACACCAGUGGCGAAGGCGAGUCCCUGGAAAACUCCUGACACUGAG
RNAcentral lists this ribosomal RNA (227 nucleotides) under uncultured bacterium. Its description in RNAcentral is "partial 16S ribosomal RNA". It matches the Rfam family "Bacterial small subunit ribosomal RNA", at positions 524 to 750 of the family's 1533-position model. The record is from RNAcentral.